This 433-nucleotide ribosomal RNA is filed under the name uncultured bacterium. RNAcentral describes it as "partial 16S ribosomal RNA". It matches the Rfam family "Bacterial small subunit ribosomal RNA", at positions 29 to 507 of the family's 1533-position model. The record is from RNAcentral.
AACGAACGCUGGCGGCAUGCCUAACACAUGCCAGUCGAACGAGACCUUCGGGACUAGUGGCGCACGGGUGCGUAACGCGUGGGAACCUGCCCUUAGGUUCGGAAUAACUCCCCGAAAGGGGUGCUAAUACCGGAUAAUGUCUUCGGACCAAAGAUUUAUCGCCUUUGGAUGGGCCCGCGUUGGAUUAGCUUGUUGGUAGGGUAAAAGCCUAUCAAGGCGACGAUCCAUAGCUGGGCUGAGAGGAUGAUCCGCCACACUGGGACUGAGACACGGCCCAGACUCCUACGGGAGGGAGCAGUGGGGAAUAUUGGACAAUGGGCGAAAGCAUGAUCCAGCUAGGCCGCGUGAGUGAUGAAGGCCUUAGGGUUGUAAAGCUCUUUUACCCGGGAUGAUAACGACGGUACCGGGAGAAUAAGCACCGGCUAACUCCGUG